Molecule: long non-coding RNA, 1555 nt
Organism: Canis lupus familiaris (dog)
Lineage: Eukaryota; Metazoa; Chordata; Mammalia; Carnivora; Canidae
Exons: 3
Source: RefSeq, a predicted model, not a curated record
CCGAUCCUCCCCAGUCUCCUGCAGGCCCUUCAAACUAGGCUUCAGAACCUUCCAAGACAUCCUGCCCAGCCCCUCCACCCGUGUCUCUUGUAGGCCCUUCCAACUGCAUUUCCAGAACCUUCCAGGCCAUCUUGCCCAGCCCCUCCUCCCUGGUCCCCUGCAGGCCCUUCCAACUGCGUUUCCAGAACCUUCCAGGCCAGCCCAGCCCAGCCCCUCCUCCCUGGUCUCCUGCAGGCCCUUCCAACUGGGGGUCCAGAACCUUCAGGCCAUCCUGGUCCAGCUCCUCCUCCCUGCUCUCUUGGAGGCCCUUCCAACUGCAGGGAAAUGCCGGUGACACAGGCGUGUUUUCGAGCUCUGCAGUGGAAACACACCACUUCCUCCCACUGAGUCAGGUAGCAAGUCAAACAGGAGCCGGGCACGAUCAGGGACAGGAGGCAGGAGUGGCCGGAGCCUGGCGCCCGGUUGGCUGCCCCAGGUGUCGCCGGCACGAGGCCCAGGGCCAGGCUGCCGCCUCACUGCUGCCGUCAGACCUGCAGGCCUGCUGGGCACUAGACGCUGUCUGUUCCGUGAUGCCCUAGGUGCUGCGGCCGCAGCUCUCGACUCCCCAUCCCAAACCUGUCAGCGUCUUCCCGCUGCCUGCACACGCGGGGUCCCUGCCAGGAGCACCCUCCGUCCCUGGGGCCCCUGCCCAUCCCCAGCAGAAGGUGCCCACCCUCGCCGUCCUGCGUGGGGGCUGUGGGAAGGCUGGAGGGCUCCUCCGGGUGGGGAGAGGUCGCACCCAGAAGGCUACAGCACUGGCCAGGCAGGCAGGUGGCCAGGUCCUGGGAAUGAUAUGGAGAAGCUUCCGGAAGCCCAAGAGUCUGGGAAAACCAGAACUGGAAGCCAGGUAGGAGCCUAAUAUUCCAAAUAUUUCCAUAAGAAAAUGUCGCCUGGCAUUUAGCAGACAGAGACCUUUCCCGGGCAAGGGGACCUGCGGAGCCCACAGGCGGGAACGCUGGCCCUCUGGCCUCGGUGGGAAGCUCCCCCUCAAGCGCAGCAGCUCCGGACACCCCGCCUGGGCCACUGCCUGCCCCCCUCUCCCAGCCUGGGCCCCACUCUUUGCACCCAGGCCAUCCUCUCCCAGCCGCAGCGUCUGUCUGAACUCCAGCUUUGGAAAGCCCGUGGUGACCCCAGUGCUUUUGCACGUCCGGUAAACACAGUGAGUGCCACCACCCGCCCCACCCAGCGGUGCUCCAGGUCCCUUUACUUCCGUUGCUCCAUCUAAAGGUUCCUACCAUCCCCUCAUGGAGGGGUCCAGGCGCCAGCAACCCUAUCUAGCUGCUAGUCUAGUCCCAAAGUCCAACUACUGCCACGGCCUUCCCUGAACACUUGGUAACCCCAGGCCCGCGGGCCACGAAGCUCGAGUAGUCUUUCCCGACCGCCAGAGACCCAGCAGGAUCCAGGUCACGUCUGCGCCCCUUGAAGGACUGAUUGCCCCUCAAGUUUUUCUAUCUCAAUCUCCAAUUUUAAUACAAUGCGAAGCUGCAUCAAGUAUAAGAUGUAUUUGUCAUUGUCA